UCCUCGGUAGCUCAAUCGGCAGAGCAAUCGGCUGUUAACCGAUCGGUUCGUGGUUCGAGUCCACGCCGAGGAG
RNAcentral lists this transfer RNA (73 nucleotides) under Chloroflexota bacterium. RNAcentral's name for it is "Chloroflexi bacterium (freshwater metagenome) tRNA-Asn". It matches the Rfam family "tRNA". Rfam says of the family: Transfer RNA (tRNA) molecules are approximately 80 nucleotides in length. Their secondary structure includes four short double-helical elements and three loops (D, anti-codon, and T loops). Lineage: Bacteria; Bacillati; Chloroflexota. The record is from RNAcentral.